UGUUAAAACUCUAACCUUCUUGGCGCCUCAGUUUCAAAGCUCUCAAAAAAAAUUAUGUAAAAGAACGAUCAGCCAAUGUUGAUUUGUAUGAUGCCACAUGAGUCUUCUUCACCAUUAUCUUUGAGGGUUUUUUUUCUUUCUUAUUUUUCUUCUUUCUUUGGGUCCGCACUUUCCACAGGGAACCCACUUUAGGCUUUAGCCCACUCUCUCUCUCUCUUGAUCAUCUUCUUACUGAGCUCUCUUUCUUUGUUUGUGGAGAGAGUCACUCUCCCUAUGGUUUCUCUCUCAAAAAGAAUAUAUUCUUUGCUUUAUAGCUUUUAGUAGGUGGGUUUGAUUUUUUUAUCUCUAAAGCUCCAAAGAAGAUGCCAAAGUUCCCCUCCAACUCCGGACCAUUAAACUCAAAUACCCAUUUGAUUUAAAGCUCUAUCUUUUUCUUUUCUUUUCUUUUCCUUCUCUAUCUCUCACUCAAAAUCUUGAAGCUUGAGAAGAAGAACAAAGUAUUCUUCUUCUUUAUGCUUCUUACUUAGUCUUUUUGUGCUCAUUUUUUGGUUCUCUGGUGUUGUGUAAGUAAAAAAGAAUUGAUUUUUUAGGUUCACCAUCAUCAGAAGAAGGAGAAGACCAGAAAAGAAAAUGAAUGGUUCGAUUCUUGAUGGUAUAAUUAAUAGGCUUCUUGAAGUUAGAACAAAUCUUGAGAAGCAAGUCCAGCUUUCAGAGACUGAGAUUAAGAAACUUUGCUUUGUUUCUAGAGAUAUUUUCUUGAGACAGCCCAUUCUCUUGGAGCUUGAAACACCUGUUAAAAUUUGUGGUUAAGGAAAAUGAGUUUGGUAGUUCUAUGGAAGCAUCAAAUUGUGUCAAACAGGAAUGAUUGUUGUUGGAACUAAAAACAACAAUGAAAUGAAAAGAGCCUUCAAGAGGGAGCAUGAAGUGGAAUUACUGCCAACUUCUUUAUAUAUGUAAAUAUGAACUAAAAGUACAAUUUUUGA
Long non-coding RNA from Humulus lupulus (European hop), 983 nucleotides. RefSeq lists it as uncharacterized. NCBI's taxonomy places the organism in Eukaryota, Viridiplantae, Streptophyta, Magnoliopsida, Rosales, Cannabaceae. The record is from RefSeq and is a predicted model, not a curated record. The transcript is spliced from 3 exons.